CCUACGGGAGGCAGCAGUGGGGAAUAUUGGGCAAUGGGCGCAAGCCUGACCCAGCAACGCCGCGUGAAGGAAGAAGGCCCUCGGGUUGUAAACUUCUUUUAUUCGGGACGAAACAAAUGACGGUAACGAAUGAAUAAGCCACCGCUAACUACGUGCCAGCAACCGCGGUAAUACGUAGGUGGAAAGCUUUAUCCGGAUUUACUGGGUGUAAAGGGCGUGUAGGCGGGGGGGCAAGUCAGACUUGAAAUUCCAGGGCUCAACCCUGGAACUGCGUUUGAAACUGUUAUUCUGGAGUGUUGGAGAGGCAGGCGGAAUUACGGGUGUAGCGGUGAAAUGCGUAGAUAUACGGAGGAACACCAGUGGCGAAGGCGGCCUGCUGGACAUUAACUGACGCUGAGGCGCGAAAGCGUGGGGAGCAAACAGGAUUAGAUACCCGAGUAGUC
This 443-nucleotide ribosomal RNA is filed under the name uncultured bacterium. RNAcentral describes it as "partial 16S ribosomal RNA". It matches the Rfam family "Bacterial small subunit ribosomal RNA", at positions 338 to 795 of the family's 1533-position model. The record is from RNAcentral.